UGGGGAAUUUUGCACAAUGGGGGAAACCCUGAUGCAGCGACGCCGCGUGAUUUAGAAGGCCUUUGGGUUGUAAAAAUCUUUUCUAUGGGAAGAAAAUGACAGUACCAUAGGAAUAAGGACCGGCUAAUUACGUGCCAGCAGCCGCGGUAAUACGUAAGGUCCGAGCGUUGUCCGGAAUCAUUGGGCGUAAAGGGUACGUAGGCGGGUAAGCAAGUUAGAAGUGAAAUCCUAUAGCUCAACUAUAGUAAGCUUUUAAAACUGCUCAUCUUGAGGUAGGGAAGGGAAAGUGGAAUUCCUAGUGUAGCGGUGAAAUGCGCAGAUAUUAGGAGGAACACCGGUGGAGAAGGCGGCUUUCUGGACAGAAACUGACGCUGAGGUACGAAAGCGUGGGUAGCAAACAGG
RNAcentral lists this ribosomal RNA (402 nucleotides) under bacterium. RNAcentral describes it as "partial 16S ribosomal RNA". It matches the Rfam family "Bacterial small subunit ribosomal RNA", at positions 355 to 776 of the family's 1533-position model. The record is from RNAcentral.